UCACAGCCCUCACUGCAUGUGAGUGUGGUAUAACCAAGCCUUUAGAGCUGUCAGAUAAAACAGAAUUUGAAACCUGUAGCAAGCAGCAAACUAUGCUGUCACAGUCAGUCUAAAAAGCAUGGGAAGCACGUUAGAGAUUGUUGUGAAAGUAUAUUCUGUCUAAUCACAGCUACAGGCAGUGUCUUUCCAAAGCAACAAAUAAAUCAUCAGAAUGAAGGUCCCAUUUAACAGCAGAAAGUCAGGAGUUUAUAUGGUGUUUGCCUUCAAAGGGAUGGUAAAGCUUUUUUUUUUUUUUUCAUUAUUACAAUUGUCCUAAUGAGUGAAGUGUUUCAUUAUUAGCCCACAUCCCAAAGGCAAAUACUGCUUCUAGAAUUGGGACAUCUCAAAAUCAUAAGCAGCAAGGUAUUGUUCUUUUGCAGGGAGGUUUGUUUUGUUUGAGAAGACCAACAAACCUGUUACGUAUAUAACAUUGGACAAAGAUAAUUGCAGCUGGUGUAACAAUCGGUCCUUGUGUGCUGGUCUGGAGAGUGUGAGUCCAUUGUGACUGAAACAAGGUGCUGAAUCCUAUCCAGUUCGUAGUUCCCUCUUUUGAUCAAGGCUUCUGCUCCUCCGUUUCUUUCUUUGCAGAUACAGCUCCCAUAUAUGGCACUCGGAAGCAGAGGUAUUUGGUAUCCCAUGGGCUGCUUAGGCAUUCUGCCACCUGUGCCACACCUGUGCUAUACCUAUGCCACAGUCUACUGAAAUCUUUAAUGGAUCAAGUUCUUACUGGACAGGACAAUCUCUUGUAUGGCUGGAUGGCCAUAGCCAUCCCAACAGUCUGGUGGCAGAAUUGGAGUUCAGAUGAGAGUGCUCUUUAUUCAGUGACCCACAAUAAUUAAUGGGGCUUGAGGAUUGAUGACUCCCUUUCAGCUGCCAAGCCACAGGCAGAAUCUGACUUUCAAGAGGCAGGAAUUGUUCAAGGCAGCUGGUGGUAGCUGGGCAGUUUGGACAGAAGGUAAUGUCACUUACAUUCCUCACACUCUCAGUCAAUGCUCAAAUUUGAUAUGUUAUAAAUGCUCAAAUGUAUGUUAAAAGGUCCAGCUACUGAAAAUCUACAUUGGAUUGUUGGUUAUUCAGUAUGGUCCUUCUACAAAAUUAUUUAACAGUUUGUAAGUCAUUUUCCAAAACAGUUUCCAAAAAUUCUAAACUAAUUUAUAUUACAGACAGAACAUUAGUCUGAGAUGGAGUGAUCUUGAUUUUCCUCUUUCCUGAUAUUUGUGGCUUUAUUCUGGUACUGGCCCAGGAAAACACACUCACUGUGCCUUUAAAGCACAGUUCAUGGUGAUUGUGUUACUACAUUGCUACUACACAUUGCUGGAUCAGGAUCAAGUUGCUCAGCAGUCUGCAGAAUUAAUGCCCAAGUGAAACGACAGUCAAACUCCCUUUGUUUUCAGAGUCAGAGAAGCAAAUUCUGCUUUGGUUAAGAAAACAAUUAUCAAUUUUAUUGUAUCCUUGUAGCACAUCAGAAAAUAGAGCAGGUGGCCAGCUUAAAGCCUGAUUGUUGGAAAGAGCACAGAUCAACUAGUUCCCCAUGAAAGAGAAUAUUACAGGGAAGGAAUUAAGAUAAUCAUAUAUAUUUUUGUUACUGAACAUAAAACUGGCAAAAAGUUUACUGUAUGGUCCUAACAAUGCAAGAAUUCGUUUACUUUCCUAUUAGUUAGGUCUCAAAAGCGAAAAGGAUAGCUUGGCAUUGGAAAUCCCUCUAGCAUUUCAGUUUGGGAAUAGUCAGUAUUCUUUCAACUUAAUCAGAAUGCAGUAGAAUAUAUGGUGCAACACUGCAGAAAUGCUGUUGAUGUUGCACACUUCAUAUUACAUAUUACAUUUCACCUAUUGUCAUGCUAGAGGCCCAUUGUAAAUUAAUUUGGCAGAUAAAUUUAUGAUGGCAAUUUGCCUUCCAGUUGUACAAUUUAUUCAUGUCAGAAAUAAUUUAUUAUAUUGUCCCUUAAGCCAUUUUUUUUUUCUUCCUAGGGUACCACCUUAGUAAAUAAAAUCUAUUGUUUACACUGAGCCUUGUGUGACUUCACAGUGGUCAGUCAAUAACCUCAGGGGGAUAGUUUUGGUCACAUUACUGGUCACUUAUUUGUAUAGAUGAUGGAGCACUCUGGUCCCAUCUGUACAUGUACUACUUUCCUUUGUCUUAGAGGCACUGUUGGAAAGAUUAAUUAGGUCCAUCUGUAGGAAAGUAUCAGCCUUCAGGGAUUCAGGUAAAUAAAAUAAAUGCCAAGGGGAAAAAGUGCUGAGGGGCAUGUUUUGAAAGUCAAACUGGUUUUCAUAACGUUAAUGGGGAAAUUACACAGAGAAGGAGAUUGAAAGAAAAGUAAAACUGUCACGUAGUCUGGAUUAUUUCAGCAUGACCUGAUAAACAUCUCCUAUUGCUGCUGUGGUAGGAAAAAGGAUCUAUGAAGUGGACUAAAGGAAAAGUCCAUGGGCAACAUUCUCAGCUAAUAUAAAUCAGUAUAACUGUCUGAUCUUCACUUUAUAACAGUAGAGACUUGAGUCAUGUCUGCCAGAGUGAUGUUAUUUCUGUCCUUAAUUUGCAUGAUCCAAUAUGCAGUAAACUGAUCUGAUUCACAUUCUGUCUUAAUUUUUUUUUAUUAUAGUGGUGCUAUGUACCUUAUGGGUCUUACAUCACACCUCUGUUCUCUUUUCCUUUAAGCUUCUUUCUAUAUUUUCUUCCAUAUCUUUCCUUUCCUCUCCUUCAAAGAGUUCAGCAUGCAAAUGAGUCUCAUAGCAUUGAGCUAACUGAUAUGAUCACAGAUUGUAAAAGAGAAACUCAGCUCUUACUGACUUUUAUAUAAUUUAUUAGUUUGUAUGUAAUUAAUUGGUGUAACAAGUACAUAAACCGUGUGAAAUUUGUUGCCACUCUGUUGUCUUACCAGCCUAAGUGGGGAUUUGUGUUCCACCAUGCAAUGGAGUUACAAUUCACAAUGUUUUCAUGAAACACCAAAUGGAAAAACAGAAAGAUAAUUUUUCACUGAGCUUUGGCUGUCUUAAGAGAUGUUUUGCUUUUAAACUUUUGUUGGGGCAAAGUUAGGUUCCUUUUGACUUUGGAGUUUAACUCAUUAUGACUUCUAAAUUAAUUAGUAAAGCUAUAGAAACAUGAAGGCUUAUUUUUGAGAACAAGAGAAAAACCAUAAAUUAUUUAAAAGAAAAGAGAAGCAGCAUGCAGAAAGGAUACAAAAGAAGUGUAACUCACAGAUUAAGGGGGGAAUGACUGUUGGUGAUCAGUUCAACUACUGUGUGUACAUGAAGAACUAACUAUGUGUGAGAGGGAAGUCACUGGCUCUGGAAAUGCACAUGCUUGUCUACUGCCCGUGCUGGCAAGUAGACCCUCACUCUCAGAGGGGAGCAACUUCUUCUGGAGUUGAACUUCGAAGUCUAAUUCUGAAUAGUUGCUAAGUCUGCAUUACACAGUGCUGGAAGGAAACUGCCUCUCUGUAUGAAUAAGGUCUGAAUCUGUACACAUUGCCACAGAGAGGUAGUUAGACACUCUGGAGUGUAACUGGGUUUUUGUUUUAGAAGCUGUAUUGUGUAGGUAGAACAGUGCCUCAUGGUAUUUAGGUAAGAUUAUAACAUAAAUCAAAAUGUAAUUUAAUAUCUCUGUAUUUAGGAUAAAUAGUUCAAUGUGCUGCCAUUGCAGAAUAGAGUCGUUAUUGUCUGAAGGCACUUCUUCUUUCCAGCCUGAUGCACUUUCUAGAUGAAGGGUAUUUUGAAGGCUCCCUCUUGGUCCUCAUGGAACAGGUCUAUGGCCACGAUGCAACACACGUCCUACAUCUUAGAGACACUCAGAUCACAUCUGCUGGGAUAGUUCUUGUUUGUAUCCGUGGGUCAACAAACAAAAGAGCUUAAAUAGUCCUUUAAAGAAGAAAUUGCCCUUCCUUAAAAUCUUCUGAGCCGAUUUAUUUUCUCAUGUAGAGAUAGGAGUUCCCAUCUGGUUUAUGCUGCUCAUACUCAUUGUCAUGGGUAGCUAAGGACUUUGUCCUGCAAAGAAUGAGCCAUAACACUUCCACUGGGCUCCAGGUAUGCACAUUCUGCAGGAUUCUGGAAGCAAAGCAUGUAGCAUGUUUUCAGUUGUGCAGUUGGGAAGUUGAAACUGAGGAUCUGAGCAGGGCUUUUCUUCAGUGUUUCAUACAGUAUACGGGCUUGCUAUGUGUUUGUUGGGCCUGCAGCCUUACAUUUGAAAAUCUUAAACCUACUUGCAAUAGGAAAUUGUUUGUCUGUCUUUUUUUUCAAAAGUGUUUUUCUUUGAGGCAAUUUGAAAUUUUAAACGAAGCAUUUCAUAUGGAGAUGAAUUUAUUGUCAUUUACUAAAAUAACUGAAGAAUGCUUCAUACUCUGGUUUUUGUUUGGGGUUUGUGUUGCUCUGUUUCUCUUUUUAGAGAAACCCUGUUAUUGGAAACAUAUAUUCCUCUCUGAAAUGUUCAUUUCCUGGAAAAAACCAGAUUUUUCAUCAAAAUAUUUCCAUUAAAGAGCUAUGCCAGGUCUCCGGGGUGUUCUUCUGGAAAGGCAGAAACAAAAAUCAAUAGAAAAAGAGUGACAGUCAACAGACAAAUACUUGAUUGUUCUCUAUGGUUCUUACUCAGGUGAAGUUCUUCCUGGAAUAACAAAUUACAGCAAAUUUCAGCAUGUAUAGAAUCCUGCCUAACAUACUAAAGUAACUCCCAGAACUAUUCAUUUUCCAGGAGUAAAUACAUUUUAUACAUAACUCAAGUAACCUACGUGUUCAUUUUACAGAAUCUAACAAGUGAAGAAUAAUUGUGAAUGUACUGUGAAGUUGGUUCAGCAAAGGUUUUCCUAUAAUUAAAAUACAUCUGGCUCUGUCCUGUGUGGGAAAUCACAGGCCUCUGAAUGUUUUGACUAUUUCCUUAUGCACAAGAGCAGCAGAAAAACUCCAUACACUUUAACCUGUCAAAUUCUGUUCCAUUUUAUCAUGUGGAUAAAUCAGCUGCGAUAAGGAACUUUAAUCUAGCAUCUUUGAUCUGAAAUGAGGGAUUCAAAGCAAAGACAAUGGAAACGGUCACAGAAAGUAUGAGAGGCUCAGAACAACACUCUAAUCUUCAGCACACUGGUGCUAAUUUAAGUGUAAAAUAGCUUGCUGUGUUUCCCCAUAGAACUUGUGACCGCCACGGGCACUGUUCUUCCUGAUGCCAGUUCUGCACCUACAUCCUCCUGCUGCCAGAGGUGCCACAGAGCCCUGGGAGUGCUUUAGGCACCGUGUAUCUCUGUCCUUCACCCUUCUCGAAGGGGAGACUUGGCUCAGGGCAGUGACAUCUUCUUUAUAACAGUUCCUUGUCCUGGAAAGUGUUCUGCUCCGUGCCACCCCUUGGACCUGCUGGCUGUCCCAGGGAGCAGUGCUGGGGCAGGUUGGCAGCUGGGAGGCCCGUGCAUGCAGGGGCUCGCGGUGAGGUGUGAUGGGCUGCUGUGCCUCGGCCCUGCCGUGGUGGGGUCAGCCCAGCGUGAGCUGGA
This is a long non-coding RNA of Passer domesticus (house sparrow), 5504 nucleotides long. RefSeq lists it as uncharacterized. NCBI's taxonomy places the organism in Eukaryota, Metazoa, Chordata, Aves, Passeriformes, Passeridae. The transcript is spliced from 3 exons. The record is from RefSeq and is a predicted model, not a curated record.